UUAGGGAGACCUACCUAACUCAAAACGACAAAAGUAAAACAUAUAGUCGAUUGAGUUGGUCAUCCCAAGGUCGUGCGAAGAUAGCAUUGGAGGCUUUCAAACUAUAGAGUGGUUUGGUUCGUCGGGGCUAUUAGCUCAGGUGGUUAGAGCGCACCCCUGAUAAGGGUGAGGUCCCUGGUUCGAGUCCAGGAUGGCCCACCAUUAAACGUGGGGGUAUAGCUCAGCUGGUAGAGCGCUGCCUUUGCAAGGCAGAAGCCAGCGGUUCGAGUCCGCUUACCUCCACUCAAGUGAGUAAGAAGUAAGUGAAAUUUAGGUUUAACUAAAUAUUUAAGUGAAAUUAGCUAGAGUUCAAAUAAGUAUGUCAGACUAGUAAAGUUGGAAAUAAGUUCAGCACUAUGACAAACAAAAACUAAGCUGUCAGGAUGCUGGAGAAAAUUCCAGUCAGAACCUUGAAAACUGCAUAGUAACGCGUGAAAACAAGCGAACUAAGAAUGUGAUCGCUCACAAUUUUAGUUUGCUGAAUAAACCACCAAUGUAAAAAAGU
Molecule: transfer RNA, 544 nt
Filed under: coccoid cyanobacterium ATA3-12-RM3
Lineage: Bacteria; Bacillati; Cyanobacteriota
Description: 16S-23S ribosomal RNA intergenic spacer
Rfam family: tRNA (bases 210-282)
Source: RNAcentral